Molecule: ribosomal RNA, 1026 nt
Filed under: Triticum aestivum (bread wheat)
Lineage: Eukaryota; Viridiplantae; Streptophyta; Magnoliopsida; Poales; Poaceae
Description: partial small subunit ribosomal RNA
Source: RNAcentral
AUGCUGAAACGGGGGCUUAUCACACCAAGUGUUAGUUCAUUUUCCUCACCUGUGCUGCUUGUCAAGAAGAAGGACCAAAAGUGGCGGUUCUGCGUCGAUUUUCGACACUUGAAUGCCAUCAAUAUCAAGUCAUCCUACCCUAUGCCUGUGAUCGACGAGUUGUUGGAUGAACUCGCGGGUUCCAAGUGGUUUUCCAAACUUGACCUGCGGGCAGGUUACCACCAAAUUCGUCUUGUACCAGAGGACGAGCACAAGACGGCAUUCAAGACACACCAAGGCCAUUUUGAGUUCAGGGUUUUGCCGUACAGAGUGACGGGGGGCCCUCCAACAUUUCAAGGGAUGAUGAACACAGUACUGUCACCAUUGCUUCAUGAGGGAGUGUUAGUCUUUAUGGAUGAUAUUCUCGUUCAUUGCAAAACUCUGUCAGAACAUGAGAUCCUUCUCAUCAAAGUGCUCAAACUGCUACAGCAACACACCCUAUAUGCCAAGCGCUCGAAGUGCACUUUUGCUCAGACCAAGAUCAAUUACCUGGGGCAUUGCAUCAGUGAGCAAGGGGUGUCAACAGAUGACAGUAAAAUUCAGGCAGUCCAGGACUGGCCAGUUCCAACUACAGUGAAGAAGUUACGACGGUUUCUUGGGUUUGUAGGGUACAACCGCAAGUUCGUCAGGAAUUUUGGUGUUCUCAGUAAGCCGUUGACAGAUUUACUCAAAAAAGGUGCAGUGUUUGUGUGGACUCGCACCACCAAUGCAGCCUUUUGUGCUCUGAAGGAAGCCCUAGUGCAAGCCCCGGUCUUGGCAUUACCAGAUUUUGCAAAAAAAUUCAUGGUGGAAACCGAUGCUAGCGCAACGGGCAUCGGAGCUGUGUUAAUGCAGGAUUUCCACCCCAUUGCAUACCUCAGCAAGGCGUUGGCGCCAAAGAACCUCAGAUUGUCAGCUUAUGAAAAGGGGUGCCUGGCUCUUUUGUUGGCCAUCGACCACUGGCGGCCCUACUUGCAACAAGCAGAAUUCCUUAUUCGUACGGAUUAG